CUAGGGAGGGAUGGAGUCCCAUUGAUACAAGGCAGAUAAGGAACUUGGCUGCAAAUCUAAAAGGACCUGAGAGUGGAAAAUGGGACAGUCCAGUGGGUGCAAACCAGGAGCCCCAGUGAGAAUCCUCCUGGAAGACUAAUGCAAUUUGGAGAGAGAGCAAGUGUCAGCGGGCUCAGUUCUCUAGUGCACCAGCAGUGGGACCAAACUCUGACUGGAGAGGUUAACCCCUUACCCCCUGCUCAUUCACACAAGUUAAUCAGAUCACGUGUGUGUGAUCCAGGACAUUGCUACAGACAUGAGACUGGGUUUGUGUACCCUGCAUCAAUUACACACGGAGGCAGGCAAAGAACUGAAGCAGCCCACAGCCACUCGGCAGCAGCACUUGUCACAUCAGCCAAAGCAGCUGUCACAUCAUCUGGGAUCUGCCCCACCCCUGGAGGUGCCCAAGGCCCGGUUGGAUGGGGCACUGGACAGCCUGAUCUGGUGCCUGAUCUGGUGGUUGGCAACCAUACCCAUGGCAGGAGGGUGGAACUAGAUGAUCUUUGAGGUCCCUUCCAACCCAAACCAGUCUAUGAUUCUAUGAACCACCACCCUUGUGCUCCUUUCAAGCAACAUGGGCACCAAGACUCCAUCUUCCCCAUGGGGGUCAGCAAGCUUGGGACCCCAUGAACCUUCAGACUCUCCCCACUGCUGGGAUCUCCUCUUCAGGGAUUGCCACCAGGGGCUUUUAAAGUCAUGUUGCAUUUAACAGAGGAAGAAAAGGGAAAAAUAUAAAUAUACGGUCAUUGUUUCUACCCUUGCACUUAAAAAAUAAACAUUGCCUUUUGAUGCUUCAGAGAAGAUGUGGUGUCAUUUCCUGAAGGAGAAGGAGGGAGCAAGAGGGCUGAGAAGAAAGAAGGAAGAAAAUCUGCCCGGAGCAUCCACUGUUCCUGCGUGGGUGAUGAAGCGUUUGCUCUGGGAGCUUUGGUCACUCUGCCACUCACUUGCAAGGCACCGGGAAGCUGCUCUGCAUUCAGCAAUGCUGCAGUACCUUGUGGCUUGAGGUGCACUUGAUGAACAAGGUUGAACUGGAAUCUUUGAGCAGGAAUCCUCCUAAGCCUGAACACUGCCUAACUGGUGAAGAGUGAAGUGGGAAAUACAUACUUGUGAGCUCUGGGGCUCCUGUGGCUGGCGGACACUGCAACAAGAUCCAGCACAGCCCACAGGACUUUGAACUCAGUUUUCUCUUUGGAACAGCCUCCCCAGAUGAACUCUGAGCCUGGAUUUGAUGUUCCACACACGGUUUUGUCACAGCCCUGUGCUGUGCUGCCUGAGUGGCACCGAUGUGCAGUAAAGACCCAGCUGGCUGAGCACUUUCAGGACAAACAGGGAAGACAAUUUACUAUCUGAUUUUACGAGAGCCAUUUGCACUUUGCAGAAUUUUUUAAGCAGCAAAACCCUUAAGAGGCAUGUUCUGAGCCUGGUACCUCGGAGAAUUGCACACACAUUUCCUGUCAGCAGCCGGAGAAUGGUGUCUCACACCUGCUAUGAAGAGAUUGAAAUAUAUUCUUAAUGGCUUGAUUGCUUUGCAUUUCCCUGGAGAUGGGAUGACACACUGUGGCGUGGUUUCUUUUCCACAAGGAGCAUCCUGAACAGCGUGGCAGAGCUGAUGCUCGCUCGUACUGAUGCUCCCUGGGAUUUAACCUGUGCUUAAGAUCUAGCUAUGCUCAUAGGGAUGCUCUGGGCCUGGGAGGCAGCAGACAUGGAUCAUAGGUGGUUGCAGGCAGGAUCCUGCACUAGGACUGGUUUAAAGGUCAGCUGAUGGCUGGGCUAAAUGCCCAGAGGAAAACAUCCCUAAAAUGGAUGCUUUGCUGCAUGCAUCAUCCUGGGCAGCACUCUGAAAACCAGCAGUGAGAGAAGUUAAAACACAUUCUUUAGUUGCCUACCUCCAUGUGGUUUGUCAGAGCAUCCCAGCACCGCCAUGUGAAUGCUGCAGUGAUGCCAGGAGGACACCUUCCCACCUUGGCCAGUUACAGCCAGCACAUACCAGGGAAUGGCAGAAUAGGCCUUCCCCUGCAUCUGCCCCACUGUGAUGCUCCACCCAAAGGCUGUCCCUGUCAGCGAUGAACCUGUUAUCACACAUCAAAUAUUCAGCAACCAAAUACCAUCCAUUUCCAAGAGGCUUGAGCCCCAACCUCUUUGUUGCAUGGGAAGGAGGUGCACUAAAGGAUGACAGGCACUUCUGUAGGGUACCCUUUUAUUUCAGCAUCUUGAACAGCUGCAUGUCACCAGCCAUUAUCCUGCAGACCUCUGUACCACCCCACCUCACCACACACCCAACCCAUGGAAUGGUUUCUAAUUUUGGCAGAAGACGCUGUGGUUUCUGCUGAACGUGGUGGAAGUUGGGAGCUUUCAUCCCAUGGGAACACAGCGCAGUCCCAUAUCAGACUGAUACGAAAAGGAAACAGCGGUGCUUUUCUGCCUCAGAAUGUUUCUGUUUUUCAGACACC
This is a long non-coding RNA of Gallus gallus (chicken), 2489 nucleotides long. The record is from Ensembl. Lineage: Eukaryota; Metazoa; Chordata; Aves; Galliformes; Phasianidae.